RNAcentral lists this ribosomal RNA (406 nucleotides) under uncultured bacterium. RNAcentral's name for it is "partial 16S ribosomal RNA". It matches the Rfam family "Bacterial small subunit ribosomal RNA", at positions 30 to 526 of the family's 1533-position model. The record is from RNAcentral.
AUUGAACGCUGGCGGCAGGCCUAACACAUGCAAGUCGAACGAGUGGCGGACGGGUGAGUAAUGUCUGGGAAACUGCCUGAGGGAGGGGGAUAACUAAUGGAAACGGUGGCUAAUAACGCAUACAAUAGUAUGUGCCCAGAUGGGUUUAGCUAGUAGGUGGGGUAACGGCUCACCUAGGCGACGAUCCCUAGCUGGUCUGAGAGGAUGACCAGCCACACUGGAACUGAGACACGGUCCAGACUCCUACGGGAGGCAGCAGUGGGGAAUAUUGGACAAUGGGCGAAAGCCUGAUGCAGCCAUGCCGCGUGUAUGAAGAAGGUCGUCGGGUUGUAAAGCACUUUCAGCGGGGAGGCGUUACCCGCAGAAGAAGCACCGGCUAACUCCGUGCCAGCAGCCGCGGUAAUUC